CGAAGAGGGGAGAAUGGGUGAGUGAUGCUUGGGAACAUGCCUUGAGGUGGGGGACAACAGUUGGAAACGACUGCUAAUACCGCAUAAUGUCUACGGACCAAAGGGGGCUUCGGCUCUCGCCUUUAGAUUGGCCCAAGUGGGAUUAGCUAGUUGGUGAGGUAAUGGCUCACCAAGGCGACGAUCCCUAGCUGGUUUGAGAGGAUGAUCAGCCACACUGGGACUGAGACACGGCCCAGACUCCUACGGGAGGCAGCAGUGGGGAAUAUUGCACAAUGGGCGCAAGCCUGAUGCAGCCAUGCCGCGUGUGUGAAGAAGGCCUUCGGGUUGUAAAGCACUUUCAGUCAGGAGGAAAGGUUAGUAGUUAAUACCUGCUAGCUGUGACGUUACUGACAGAAGAAGCACCGGCUAACUCCGUGCCAGCAGCCGCGGUAAUACGGAGGGUGCGAGCGUUAAUCGGAAUUACUGGGCGUAAAGCGUACGCAGGCGGUUUGUUAAGCGAGAUGUGAAAGCCCCGGGCUCAACCUGGGAACUGCAUUUCGAACUGGCAAACUAGAGUGUGAUAGAGGGUGGUAGAAUUUCAGGUGUAGCGGUGAAAUGCGUAGAGAUCUGAAGGAAUACCGAUGGCGAAGGCAGCCACCUGGGUCAACACUGACGCUCAUGUACGAAAGCGUGGGGAGCAAACGGGAUUAGAUACCCCGGUAGUCCACGCCGUAAACGAUGUCUACUAGAAGCUCGGAACCUCGGUUCUGUUUUUCAAAGCUAACGCAUUAAGUAGACCGCCUGGGGAGUACGGCCGCAAGGUUAAAACUCAAAUGAAUUGACGGGGGCCCGCACAAGCGGUGGAGCAUGUGGUUUAAUUCGAUGCAACGCGAAGAACCUUACCUACACUUGACAUACAGAG
RNAcentral lists this ribosomal RNA (901 nucleotides) under Pseudoalteromonas sp. TB12. RNAcentral's name for it is "bacterial SSU rRNA". It matches the Rfam family "Bacterial small subunit ribosomal RNA", at positions 89 to 993 of the family's 1533-position model. Lineage: Bacteria; Pseudomonadati; Pseudomonadota; Gammaproteobacteria; Alteromonadales; Pseudoalteromonadaceae. The record is from RNAcentral.